AUUGAACGCUGGCGGCAGGCCUAACACAUGCAAGUCGAACGGUAACAGGAAGCAGCUUGCUGCUUUGCUGACGAGUGGCGGACGGGUGAGUAAUGUCUGGGAAACUGCCUGAUGGAGGGGGAUAACUACUGGAAACGGUAGCUAAUACCGCAUAACGUCGCAAGACCAAAGAGGGGGACCUUCGGGCCUCUUGCCAUCGGAUGUGCCCAGAUGGGAUUAGCUAGUAGGUGGGGUAACGGCUCACCUAGGCGACGAUCCCUAGCUGGUCUGAGAGGAUGACCAGCCACACUGGAACUGAGACACGGUCCAGACUCCUACGGGAGGCAGCAGUGGGGAAUAUUGCACAAUGGGCGCAAGCCUGAUGCAGCCAUGCCGCGUGUAUGAAUAAGGCCUUCGGGUUGUAAAGUACUUUCAGCGGGGAGGAAGGGAGUAAAGUUAAUACCUUUGCUCAUUGACGUUACCCGCAGAAGAAGCACCGGCUAACUCCGUG
This 490-nucleotide ribosomal RNA is filed under the name uncultured bacterium. RNAcentral's name for it is "partial 16S ribosomal RNA". It matches the Rfam family "Bacterial small subunit ribosomal RNA", at positions 30 to 507 of the family's 1533-position model. The record is from RNAcentral.